This is an RNA transcript of Otolemur garnettii (small-eared galago), 743 nucleotides long. It is a transcript of the gene named COP9 signalosome complex subunit 8-like, with no coding region annotated. The record is from RefSeq and is a predicted model, not a curated record. NCBI's taxonomy places the organism in Eukaryota, Metazoa, Chordata, Mammalia, Primates, Galagidae. The transcript has a single exon.
GUCUGGAGUCUGGCCGUCGUUAAGGUGCCACGAGACCGGCCAGGAAGAUGCCAGUGGCGGUGAUGGCAGAAGGUGCCUUCAGUUUCAAAAAGUUGCUGGAUCAAUGCGAGAACCAGGAGCUCGAGGCUCUUGGAGGAAUUGCUACACCCCCAGUAUAUGGUCAACUUCUAGCUUUAUAUUUGCUCCACAAUGACAUGAAUAAUGCAAGAUAUCUUUGGAAAAGAAUACCACCUGCUAUAAAAUCUGCAAAUUCUGAACUUGGAGGAAUUUGGUUAGUAGGACAAAGAAUCUGGUAGAGAUUUCCCUGGGGUCUAUACGACCAUCAAUGCUCACCAGUGGUCUGAGACAGUCCAGCCAAUCAUGGAGGCACUUAGAGAUGCAACAGGGAGACGAGCCUUCGCCCUGGUCUCUCAAGCCUACACCUCCAUAAUCACUGACAAUUUUGCAGCCUUUGUAGGACUUCUUGUUGAAGAGGCUAUGAAAGGUAUAUUAGAACAAGGAUGGCAAGCCGACUCCACCACCAGAAUGGUUCUGCCCAGAAAGCCAGUUGCAGGAUCCCUAGAUGUUUCCUUUAACAAGUUUAGUCCCUUAUCAGAGCCUGCCCCAGUUCCCCCAAUUCCCAAUGACCAGUAGUUAGCCAGACUGACCGAUUAUGUGGCUUUUCUUGAAAAUUGAUCACCCUGAGUUCAAGAUCCACCUUUGGAAUUCUGUAUACUGAGAAAUGUAGAAAUGUAAAAUUUUUA